AGAACGAACGCUGGCGGCAUGCCUAAUACAUGCAAGUCGAACGAAGGCUUCGGCCUUAGUGGCGCACGGGUGCGUAACGCGUGGGAAUCUGCCCCUUGGUUCGGAAUAACAGUUGGAAACGACUGCUAAUACCGGAUGAUGACGAAAGUCCAAAGAUUUAUCGCCAAGGGAUGAGCCCGCGUAGGAUUAGCUAGUUGGUGGGGUAAAGGCUCACCAAGGCGACGAUCCUUAGCUGGUCUGAGAGGAUGAUCAGCCACACUGGGACUGAGACACGGCCCAGACCUCCGUACGGGAGGCAGCAGUAGGGAAUAUGGACAAGUGGGCAAAGCCUGAUCCAGCAAUGCCGCGUGAGUGAGUGAAGGUCCGUUAGGUUAGUAAAGCUCGUUUACCGAGAUGAUAAUGACAGUAGUCGGAAG
Molecule: ribosomal RNA, 416 nt
Filed under: uncultured soil bacterium
Lineage: Bacteria
Description: bacterial SSU rRNA
Rfam family: Bacterial small subunit ribosomal RNA
Source: RNAcentral